Molecule: long non-coding RNA, 161 nt
Organism: Pipistrellus kuhlii (Kuhl's pipistrelle)
Lineage: Eukaryota; Metazoa; Chordata; Mammalia; Chiroptera; Vespertilionidae
Exons: 3
Source: RefSeq, a predicted model, not a curated record
AUUGUAUAAAGUCUAGCCGGGUGUAGCUCAGCGGUUGUGCAUCUACCCAGGAACCAAGAGGUCACCAGUUCCAUUCCCGGUCAGGGUAUAUGCCCAGGUUACGGGCUCUAUCCCCAAUGGGGGCAUAAAGGAGGCAGCCAAUCAACGAUUCUCUCUUAUCA